This 567-nucleotide long non-coding RNA is filed under the name Medicago truncatula (barrel medic). RNAcentral's name for it is "long non-coding RNA (MTRU_LNC004203)". The record is from RNAcentral. Lineage: Eukaryota; Viridiplantae; Streptophyta; Magnoliopsida; Fabales; Fabaceae.
UGCUAUAACACAAUUAGGCUAGCAAAAUAUUGUAUAUUCCAUUCAAAAUACAAAGUCAAUGUAUGGCAGAAGCUGCUAUAACACUACUGCUAUAAUUCAGCAGGAAAAAAAUGGGACAAACCCCAAAAAAUACCCACCAUGGGGAACUAAAGCUGCUGCUAUAACAACUUAGCAGAGGUGUGGCUGCACAAUCCUAAGACAGCACACUAACAGGAUCCAAAAUAACACUACUAAGUGAUUUUAACAGCAAAAACACAGUUCCCAUGCUCCAAAAAACCGCGCCUGAACAGCAAAAAACAACAUGCAAACUGGAACCCCCCAGGCACCUGCAGCGGAACCCCCCAGGUAUCAAACCAGAACAAAAAAAAACAGCAAAAACAGUUGCUGCACUUUCAUGAAUGCAGCAACGCCAGUGCCCCCUAUGAAUUCAUUCCAUUCAAAUAGGUUGGCCCCUCUAUUUCCUACAUUAAUAACAACUUAAAAAUUAGCAUCACGAUACUUGUUGAAUGUAUGAAUAGUUCAUUAUGAAUUUGUUUUUGAAAUUACCAUUAGCAUGGCUGUGUAAUU